CUGGUGUGCUUCCUGCCCACGAGGAAAGAAGAGCGACAAGGUUCAGAUUUGACUGUUUGCAGCAUGGGAGCUGAUUACCCAAAAAAUCCCUGGGAAAAAAGAAAAGAUAUCUCGGUAACGAAAACCAUAGGAGGCUGUAUUGGCGAGAUCCAAGGGUUCACAGCAGCCCAAAAGAAAAACCGCCUGGAAGUCCGAGGACCUUUAGUACCAUACCGAACCAGCAGCCUUCGCGCCAAGCGACGACCGCCCUUGUCCCUUUCCUUUUUCCAUUCAGCCUACUUCUUAGCUUUGUUCCGUCAGUCUAAGGCAAAGCUUAAGUGAUCUUUCUUUCUAUCAAUAGAUAGGAAAGAGUGUUCGUUAUAG
This 363-nucleotide ribosomal RNA is filed under the name Triticum aestivum (bread wheat). RNAcentral's name for it is "partial small subunit ribosomal RNA". Lineage: Eukaryota; Viridiplantae; Streptophyta; Magnoliopsida; Poales; Poaceae. The record is from RNAcentral.